CGUUGCACUAUCGUUUGAUGAAUACAUAGUCAAACGAAGCGAACCGGGGGAACUGAAACAUCUCAGUACCCCGAGGAAAAGAAAUCAACCGAGAUUCCCCUAGUAGCGGCGAGCGAACGGGGAGCAGCCCAGAGUCUUAAUCAGCAUUAGUAUCAGGAGAACGGUCUGGAAAGUCCGGCAGUAAAGGGUGAUAGCCCCGUAUCUGAAGAUAUUAGUGUUGUGAACUCGACGAGUAGGGCGGGACACGUGUUAUCCUGUCUGAAUAUGGGGGGACCAUCCUCCAAGGCUAAAUACUCCUGAUUGACCGAUAGUGAACCAGUACCGUGAGGGAAAGGCGAAAAGAACCCCGGCGAGGGGAGUGAAAUAGAACCUGAAACCGUGUACGUACAAGCAGUGGGAGCCUUGAUUUAUCAGGGUGACUGCGUACCUUUUGUAUAAUGGGUCAGCGACUUAUAUUCUGUAGCAAGGUUAACCGUAUAGGGGAGCCGUAGGGAAACCGAGUCUUAACUGGGCGAAUGAGUUGCAGGGUAUAGACCCGAAACCCGGUGAUCUAGCCAUGGGCAGGUUGAAGGUUGGGUAACACUAACUGGAGGACCGAACCGACUAAUGUUGAAAAAUUAGCGGAUGACUUGUGGCUGGGGGUGAAAGGCCAAUCAAACCGGGAGAUAGCUGGUUCUCCCCGAAAGCUAUUUAGGUAGCGCCUCGUGAACUCAUCUUCGGGGGUAGAGCACUGUUUCGACUAGGGGGUCAUCCCGACUUACCAACUCGAUGCAAACUACGAAUACCGAAGAAUGUUAUCACGGGAGACACACGGCGGGUGCUAACGUUCGUCGUGAAGAGGGAAACAACCCAGACCGCCAGCUAAGGUCCCAAAGUCAUAGUUAAGUGGGAAACGAAGUGGGAAGGCUCAGACAGCCAGGAUGUUGGCUUAGAAGCAGCCAUCAUUUAAAGAAAGCGUAAUAGCUCACUGGUCGAGUCGGCCUGCGCGGAAGAUGUAACGGGGCUAAACUAUGCACCGAAGCUGCGGCAGCGAUAUGUAAAUAUUGUUGGGUAGGGGAGCGUUCUGUAAGCCUGUGAAGGUGUACUGUGAGGUAUGCUGGAGGUAUCAGAAGUGCGAAUGCUGACAUAAGUAACGAUAAUGCGGGUGAAAAACCCGCACGCCGGAAGACCAAGGGUUCCUGUCCAACGUUAAUCGGGGCAGGGUGAGUCGACCCCUAAGGCGAGGCAGAAAUGCGUAGUCGAUGGGAAACGGGUUAAUAUUCCCGUACUGGUGAUAAUUGCGAUGGGGGGACGGAGAAGGCUAGGCUGGCCGGGCGACGGUUGUCCCGGUUUAAGGAUGUAGGCAGGUGAAUUAGGCAAAUCCGGUUCACUAUAUGCUGAGGUCUGAUGACGAGUCACUACGGUGGCGAAGUAGCUCAUGCCCCGCUUCCAGGAAAAGCCUCUAAGCUCUAGAUUAUCA
Molecule: ribosomal RNA, 1459 nt
Filed under: Providencia rettgeri
Lineage: Bacteria; Pseudomonadati; Pseudomonadota; Gammaproteobacteria; Enterobacterales; Morganellaceae
Description: partial 23S ribosomal RNA
Rfam family: Bacterial large subunit ribosomal RNA
Source: RNAcentral